Molecule: long non-coding RNA, 197 nt
Organism: Etheostoma cragini (Arkansas darter)
Lineage: Eukaryota; Metazoa; Chordata; Actinopteri; Perciformes; Percidae
Exons: 2
Source: RefSeq, a predicted model, not a curated record
AUAUAUAUAUAUAUAUAUAUAUAUAUAUAUAUAUAUAUAUAUAUAUAUGAACAUGUAGUUUUUGAAGCAGAAAUCUCAACAGCGAUCUGUUAGGUCAUUACAUUGCUUCCCUUCAUUAACUAAGGUCAACCUGCACAAUCAUGCGUGUUGGUACAUUUACCAGUAAAAUAAGGAAACAAAACAAUAAAAUAAAAUAA